Molecule: ribosomal RNA, 252 nt
Filed under: uncultured bacterium
Lineage: Bacteria
Description: partial 16S ribosomal RNA
Rfam family: Bacterial small subunit ribosomal RNA
Source: RNAcentral
UACAGGGGGGCGAGCGUUGUUCGGAAUUAUUGGGCGUAAAGGGCGCGUAGGCGGUGCGGUAAGUCACCUGUGAAACCUUUGGGCUUAACCCAGAGCCUGCAGGCGAAACUGCCGUGCUAGAGUGUGGGAGAGGUGCGUGGAAUUCCUGGUGUAGCGGUGAAAUGCGUAGAUAUCAGGAGGAACACCGGUGGUGUAGACGGCUUACUGGACCAUAACUGACGCUGAGACACGAAAGCGUGGGUAGCAAACAGG